This 1023-nucleotide ribosomal RNA is filed under the name Pseudomonas aeruginosa. RNAcentral's name for it is "partial 16S ribosomal RNA". It matches the Rfam family "Bacterial small subunit ribosomal RNA", at positions 1 to 1005 of the family's 1533-position model. Lineage: Bacteria; Pseudomonadati; Pseudomonadota; Gammaproteobacteria; Pseudomonadales; Pseudomonadaceae. RNAcentral also lists the same sequence under 1 other name. The record is from RNAcentral.
UUUAUGGAGAGUUUGAUCCUGGCUCAGGAUGAACGCUGGCGGCGUGCCUAAUACAUGCAAGUCGAGCGAACGGACGAGAAGCUUGCUUCUCUGAUGUUAGCGGCGGACGGGUGAGUAACACGUGGAUAACCUACCUAUAAGACUGGGAUAACUUCGGGAAACCGGAGCUAAUACCGGAUAAUAUUUUGAACCGCAUGGUUCAAAAGUGAAAGACGGUCUUGCUGUCACUUAUAGAUGGAUCCGCGCUGCAUUAGCUAGUUGGUAAGGUAACGGCUUACCAAGGCAACGAUGCAUAGCCGACCUGAGAGGGUGAUCGGCCACACUGGAACUGAGACACGGUCCAGACUCCUACGGGAGGCAGCAGUAGGGAAUCUUCCGCAAUGGGCGAAAGCCUGACGGAGCAACGCCGCGUGAGUGAUGAAGGUCUUCGGAUCGUAAAACUCUGUUAUUAGGGAAGAACAUAUGUGUAAGUAACUGUGCACAUCUUGACGGUACCUAAUCAGAAAGCCACGGCUAACUACGUGCCAGCAGCCGCGGUAAUACGUAGGUGGCAAGCGUUAUCCGGAAUUAUUGGGCGUAAAGCGCGCGUAGGCGGUUUUUUAAGUCUGAUGUGAAAGCCCACGGCUCAACCGUGGAGGGUCAUUGGAAACUGGAAAACUUGAGUGCAGAAGAGGAAAGUGGAAUUCCAUGUGUAGCGGUGAAAUGCGCAGAGAUAUGGAGGAACACCAGUGGCGAAGGCGACUUUCUGGUCUGUAACUGACGCUGAUGUGCGAAAGCGUGGGGAUCAAACAGGAUUAGAUACCCUGGUAGUCCACGCCGUAAACGAUGAGUGCUAAGUGUUAGGGGGUUUCCGCCCCUUAGUGCUGCAGCUAACGCAUUAAGCACUCCGCCUGGGGAGUACGACCGCAAGGUUGAAACUCAAAGGAAUUGACGGGGACCCGCACAAGCGGUGGAGCAUGUGGUUUAAUUCGAAGCAACGCGAAGAACCUUACCAAAUCUUGACAUCCUUUGACAACUCUAGAG